This 521-nucleotide ribosomal RNA is filed under the name Candidatus Woesearchaeota archaeon. Its description in RNAcentral is "bacterial SSU rRNA". It matches the Rfam family "Archaeal small subunit ribosomal RNA", at positions 869 to 1388 of the family's 1478-position model. Lineage: Archaea; Nanobdellati; Candidatus Woesearchaeota. The record is from RNAcentral.
CGGGGGAGCACCACAAGGGGUGAAGCCUGCGGUUCAAUUGGAGUCAACGCCGGGAACCUUACCGGGAGAGACAGCAGGAUGAAAGUCAAGCUGAAGACUUUACUAGACAAGCUGAGAGGAGGUGCAUGGCCGUCGUCAGCUCGUGCCGUGAGGUGUCCUGUUAAGUCAGGCAACGAGCGAGACCCCUACUGUUAAUUGCUACCAUUCCCCUUCGGGGUGAUGGAGCUAGUUGACAGGACUGCCGCCGCUAAGGCGGAGGAAGGAAGGGGCAACGGCAGGUCAGUAUGCCCCGAAACUCCCGGGCCACACGCGGGCUGCAAUGGUAGAGACAAUGGGUCCCAAUCUCGAAAGGGGGAGGUAAUCCCCAAACUCUACCUCAGUUGUGAUUGAGGGCUGCAACCCGCCCUCAUGAAUCUGGAAUCCCUAGUAACCGCGUGUCAUCAUCACGCGAUGAAUACGUCCCUGCUCCUUGCACACACCGCCCGUCGCUUCACCCGAGUUGGGUUUGGGCGAGGUGGCGC